GGAGAAACCGGGGUGGGGGAGGGGUCAGCAUCAGCCCAGGCAGGACUGUCCUGGGGAGCCCCUCCUGUUCUCAGGCAAGACUGGGAAAUCCCAGCCCUAGGGCCCUGGAGAGGCCCUCACCCGCUCUGCUUUCACCCAACCCGACUGACACGGAGUAGGAGGUGGGAAUCAUGCAGGCAGGGAGCUUAGGAAGCCUGGUUUAAGGUGAGAGCAUCUUGACCCCAAAAUGCCCUUCUUAAUGGGGCUCAAGAUCUUCUUUCAGGCAACAGAAAGCAACAUUAUUGGCAUCUGUAGGCAAAGGUUUGCUAAGAUGGUAGAAGGCAACCUAUGGUGGUUUGCUGUUCGAUAAGACUAGUGGCUACACAAUGUUGUCAACUGCAAAUGAGUUACAGAAUAUUGGUAAUGCCAGGGCCAUUUUUCUAAAAAAAAAAAUAACUUUACUGGUGAGGUUAGCUAAUUAGCUAUAAACAUCAUAAACUGAAAGGGUAAUGUUUUAACUCAAUUGGAGGUCUGUACUUCUCCAGAUUGCUUUGAAUGGCAGGCCCCCUGCUGUGCUCCUGGGGAGAGAGCCUGAAACCUGGAUGCUCGGGAGCCCCUCAGAUCCGUCAUCUGUCCCCGACACCCCUGUGCACACACCUACACUUGAUGGCAGGGAAAUAAUUAUUUCCUGCAGAAUGGGCUGCAAAUGUAACAAACCCCCUGACCUUCAGUCUGAAGAGAGAGAACUAUCAACCACACAGAAGCAAAGAUCCAGAGAAAUACUGAGGGAUGCUACCAGACACUCAACCAGGGCCACUCUCCGAGAUUCCAGCCAGCCACACAGCAAAGAUGCUGGCCGGGGACACUGCCCCAAACCACCAGACAGAACCCCAAAGAAACAGCUCCACACACAGUGGAAGAUACACCAGAGACUGUUAGAAGGACCAUCAGACAAAGCCAAAGAGACAGGUAGAUGAAACCAGAUAACCAGCCAGAGAGGUGGUCAGAGAACAGCGACACAAUCAAAGGACCCACCAGAAACACUGUAAAGGACUCAGCUAGACCCAGGCAGAUACACUGCCGAAGGACGAGCAAGGAGCACAGGCAGUGAAGCCGUCGGCGACAAAGCCAGAGAGCUAAGACACUGUCAGAAACAGUGCCAGAGAAACCGUCUGACACACAAGCAGAGAAAUACCAGAGAAACUGAUAGACGCAAACAGGCGUACACCCAGAAAAACAGCUUGAGAGAAGAGCCAGAGCCACAGCCAGAUGCUCAGUCAGGAAGUAUCCACACCACUCCAAACACUGCCAGAGACACUGUCAGACACACAGUCAGACACACUGCCAGAGACACCGUUAUAAAGACUGCCAGAGAAACAGCCAGACACACAGCCAGAAAAACUGACAGAGACGCAGUGCCAGAUAUACCCCGAGAAAGUGCCAGAGACUCAGCUCCAGACAGUGCAGACAUAGCAUAACAGAGACAAAUGUGGGUAUCAGCCUGAAGCAGCUGCGGAGAGGCUGGAGAGCAAUGAACUUCCUGGGGCUUCCUGUGGGAGAGGGCUCCUGCCUGCCUUUUGCUACCCUUGACCCUCUCCAGGAAAGUCCCCUCCUCUGAGCCUGCUUUUCCUUUCCUCCCUGUCACAGCCACAGGUGCCCUGACUGCCCCUCCCUGGCACAGUAAAUCUCUCUGUGUCCUAAGUGGC
Molecule: long non-coding RNA, 1685 nt
Filed under: Homo sapiens (human)
Lineage: Eukaryota; Metazoa; Chordata; Mammalia; Primates; Hominidae
Description: HSALNT0351741
Source: RNAcentral